Long non-coding RNA from Gambusia affinis (western mosquitofish), 4211 nucleotides. RefSeq lists it as uncharacterized. NCBI's taxonomy places the organism in Eukaryota, Metazoa, Chordata, Actinopteri, Cyprinodontiformes, Poeciliidae. The record is from RefSeq and is a predicted model, not a curated record. The transcript has 4 exons.
CAUAACAAAACAAUGUGUGUUGUUUGUUUUGUGUUAUUUAAAAAAAAAAAAAUCAAAUCCAUUUGGUACAUAUUUUGCAUCCCGAUCAACACUCCGUUCCGGUAGGUGGCGCUUACGCAGAAGAAGAAAAAGAAAAAGCGGACGAAGACGUUUGCUACUGGAGAUGUCAACACUUGACCCAUGUUGCUCAUGAGCACUUUUAGCUAGGUCAUUCAAUGACAUAUGAGUAGAGAAUAGACCUAUUUAGAGACGAAGUGACUAGAUGCGAAUCAUUUGUGGGGAUUAGCAAACUACACGCAGACAGUUCAAGGAAAUAGACAUAUAAUCAAGUAGCCUACGCACAAGAAUUACCUUUGACAUUUGGCGUCUUUCAUCGCAGAGAAUGUUUGGGCCCAUGGGAAUCCAGCUGGGCUCUAAGGGUGUCAUGAAGCGGUUUGCCAGGACCUCCACCUGGACUACAGCAGGAAGAUGAACUCUGCUGGCUCCCAUCUGCCCACCACUCCACCACUGGAAUGGUUCUCUGGCUCUGUUGGGCUCUUGGCCUCAUCAGCUGACUGAAGAUUGGCCAGAUGGCGUUAUCUAUGGACCAAUCGGGCACCUGGAUCCAUACCUCAUCCCACAGAAUGGACGCUUCAUCUUUCUUACUGCAGCUGAAAGUUUUUUCUACCAGCUUUGCCCAUGGAGAGGUUGACAUUUCUGCCCAUUAUUUUUGCAUAAAAGCUCAAACUCUGUGAGAUUGAAAAGUGUGUGUCACAUCAGUUUUCAAGUCUUGCCAAAGUUUUUGUAUUAUUACUUUAAAUUUUUUUUUUAUUUUUAUUUUUUUUAGGUUUAGGUUAAGGAUUUAACUGGACCCUUCUUGAAUAGCCAUGUAUUGAGCUCAUUGACGCUACUGCAGCUCUGAUUGUAUUUUUACGCUCAGUUUCAAGUCUUGGUCUGUAAUAGAUUGUCUUGUGUUUUGCUCCAUCCACUUUCUCAACUCUGACCAGUUUUACUGUCCCUGCUAAGGAAUAGCAUCCCCACAUCAUGACACUGCCACUACCUUGUGUUCAGCUUGGUUGAUUUUAUUCAAGUCCUGGAGUAGUGGUUUUUCCCACACAUUGUCUUUUUCAUGUUGGCCGAAUGUUCAAUCUUGAUCUUCAUCAAGCUAAAGGGUCUUCUUCUAGACUACACAACUUGUUUUUGGAAUAAAAUACUUUGUUUAAACCCUCUCCACUUUUGCUGAAUAUUGUUUGAGAUGAUUCUUCUACAUGAAUCAACAGUACUCGGAAAGGAAAAGAAAAGCAAAAUAUUCAGCUUUCGAAUGGAAAUUUAAUAACAGAGUAAAAUUUUAAAUUUUUCUGAAAAUGCUUUCUGCACACACUGGGAGUUUUAAGUUGCGCAAACUAAUUUGACAUAUUUUUGUACUCUAGGAGUAAACUAAAGUAACCAGGAUGAGUCCAGGCAGGAAUAAUGUCCAGUUUACCAUUUAGAGCUCACUGUAUUGCUCUCAUUCAACUUGCUCUUCUUCCUCCUCUGGCGUUGCACCACUCGACCUAUCCUUUGGUUAUUUGACACUGCAGGAGACGCCAGGCAUUCAGGGCAUUCUUUGUCCCUGGAGAGGAAAGGGGGAGAACGGGGCUGAGACAGCGAUGGGUUGGGGUGCAGGAGGUGAGACAAUGUGAGGGGUUCCACUCUGUUCAGGCUCACUAAGACCUACUUUAAGCACAUGCACAUCUUAUGCCCAGCUCAUGAAAGAGGCGGGGUCAAAGGCAGCAGGGCAGUCUGGAUUUAGAGGAGAGGAAAAUAGAAACUGCACUAGACCACUACCACCACCGUCUAACUUCAACCCCCCAAUUCAAGGUUUCAGAGAUGCCAGCAUGCCCUCUUUCAAUUAGAGAGAGGAGGGGGGCAAAAACGCACUUCUCUUCACAAAGCCAACCAUAAUGUCACUAUGUUCCUACAACUUUUCCAUUUGAAAAUUACAUAUGUUCCCUGACUAAUUUGGAUUUUACUAUUUCUAUUUAUGUGACGUUUGACAUUUUAUUCUAUUUAUUCUAUUAUUUAUACUUUUAAUGUGUUGCUUAAAAAAUAAUUUUAGAUAUCUUUCUGAAUAGAUACUUGGAAUUACCUUGUGAAUGAUGGUGAAUCCUUGAUAUAAAUCAAGGAUUCACCUUUUAUUGCAUUGAUAUAAAUCAAUGCAAGCUAUCCUUGCAUUGAUUUAUAUUUUUUCUUAGAUUUGCUCCACAGCAUCAAAUAUAUGGGUUUUUAAAAAUACAUCCCUUUUUCUCUGGUUGGAAAGAUGCUUGCCGCUUAUUCAGAGAUGCUGUUUGGUCAAAAUUAGGUCAAAAACAAAUACUGUAUGUACAAGCCUAUUUCUUGAGAUUUAAAUAAGAAAAUAAGACGUCACCGGGUAAUUAACAAAGCAACAUCUCUCUCAGAUUUGCUUAGCAUGUUCAGCUGAAGACUUGACAUGAGAAACUUCUAUUUUUCAGUAACCAUGUCCAAUUUGCAUGUCAAAUUCUGAGGCAAUGGGUGUAAAAAAAAAGAUCUGGUGAGACAAACUCAGUUUGCAAAAUUCUGAUCAUAAAGAAGCAAUACAUAAAAUCUGUGGGUUUUAAAUGAGCGAUAAAAACAACAAUCUUGUUUGGGACUAAUUAGUGUGUCUCUUUUUGAAAAAUUUGGAUUUGAAGCACUGAAUUUAUUUGGAUUGAUAGUAAAUUAUAGGAAUGAGGCAAAACUAAUCCACAGUGUUCACAGGAUAAAGUCUAAACUUUUGUAUCCUGAUGCAAGUUUCAUUAUUACGUUCUUUUUUCUCUUUUCCAGUAUGUUCCAGGACUAUAAAUUAUUUCCAGAGCAGUGAACUUUUUACUAAUGAUAUGGCAGUCAUCUUGGCUAUUUAGACAGCUCUGUACAUUAAGUAAUUAAUAAAUUAAUAAGUAAUUCAAGUUAUCUCUGUAUAUUAAAUAAGGAAGGAGACAAAUGUCCACAAUUAUUAUAGAAAAGUAAAAGAAGAAAUCAACAAAUCUUUUUGAAAAGAAGAAAAUGCUCAAAUAGGGGACAGAAAUGUGCCUGUAGAAUGUAAAAAUACUUCAGCAUUAAAUAAUGCCAUCCCUAAUGGUCUUUUAAAGACAUGGUUUAAACAGCAAUCAUGAAUAUAGGCUACGUCAACCAGCCGCAGCUUCAACUGAGAUAUCCAAUGUUGCUUUGUGGCUUAAACAUUACUUCCACAGCCAGAAAAACAGAAUAACUAGUUUUUAAUCUGAUUGGAAUUUUAACAUUUUUCCAGACUGGUGCAGUGCUGUUUUGUAUUCAUUACAAAAAGAAAAACCUUUACUGCAAAUUACGUUUUCCUUAAAGGAAUAAUUAACAAAUUUGACAUUAGAACAUUUUUAUUGGGUGGCAAAUAAAGAUGGUAAUAACCUUCCCUCACAUAUGCAGUUAAUGCUCCGUUGUUGUUUUAUUUGAAGCUGACGGUAAUGUUUGAAAGUAAAGAUUUAAUAUUGGCUCAUAAAGUGCAAAGUUGUUCACCUUAGUUGCUUCACUCAUGUACUGCAAUUUGGUUGGUAUGUGUUAAAUCAUCACAGGAUUUUGGAUUUUACUAUUUCUAUUCAUGUGAUGUUUGACAUUUUAUUCUACUACUUUUACUGCAAAUUAGUUUUUCCUAAUUUAACUCAUUAAUUUGAGUUAAAUUAUUUACCAUAAUAAACAUGCUGUGUUUUCUAGCAAAUACUAUUUGCUGUGUGUAUGCACACCUUUCACAAGACCUGUUGGGCCAGAAGGAACCUUAUCAUGUUGAUGUUGACCCUCCACUGCCUAGAACUCUGACUUGACAAGGUUGAUCCACAGCGUUGAUCAACCUUAUUGUCAGCUUGAUUUGUUCAUUCCGAAAUCUAAUGUAACCAUGAAAGUUAGUAGUUUCUCUGUAACUUACUGAGUGAAUUAUAGUCACAUUUUUGUCUGGGUGUGUGUAAUAUAUUUGAAAUCUGAAUAGGUAAUUUUUUUAAUUAAUGUGGAGCACAGGAAAGAUUUGCUUAAUACAAAAUUCAGCUCCCAAUUCAGUUUUUUUCUCUUUUACAAAGUAAAAAUGUAUGCUGUUUAACUUGUGCAACCAUUACACACAGACCGCAAAAGUUUUGAUACAUUAAUUAAAGGCAGAGGUCAAAAUUACAAUAUUCAGUUUUCUACCCUUACAAAACUGUUUUAUCAUUUUGAAAAAAAAAAAAAUAAUAAAA